This 23-nucleotide non-coding RNA is filed under the name Arabidopsis thaliana (thale cress). The record is from RNAcentral. Lineage: Eukaryota; Viridiplantae; Streptophyta; Magnoliopsida; Brassicales; Brassicaceae.
CCAAAGGUUGACUACAAGUCCCC